Molecule: transfer RNA, 71 nt
Filed under: Saprospiraceae bacterium
Lineage: Bacteria; Pseudomonadati; Bacteroidota; Saprospiria; Saprospirales; Saprospiraceae
Description: tRNA-Gln
Rfam family: tRNA
About the family: Transfer RNA (tRNA) molecules are approximately 80 nucleotides in length. Their secondary structure includes four short double-helical elements and three loops (D, anti-codon, and T loops). Further hydrogen bonds mediate the characteristic L-shaped molecular structure. tRNAs have two regions of fundamental functional importance: the anti-codon, which is responsible for specific mRNA codon recognition, and the 3' end, to which the tRNAs corresponding amino acid is attached (by aminoacyl-tRNA synthetases). tRNAs cope with the degeneracy of the genetic code in two manners: having more than one tRNA (with a specific anti-codon) for a particular amino acid; and 'wobble' base-pairing, i.e. permitting non-standard base-pairing at the 3rd anti-codon position.
Source: RNAcentral
UGACCUAUGGUGUAACGGUAGCACACCGGAUUUUGAUUCCGUUUGUUAAGGUUCGAAUCCUUAUAGGUCAA